UACGGAGGGAGCUAGCGUUGUUCGGAAUUACUGGGCGUAAAGCGCACGUAGGCGGCUUUGUAAGUUAGAGGUGAUAGCUGGAGCUCAACUCCAGAAUUGCCUUUAAGACUGCAUCGCUUGAAUCCAGGAGAGGCGAGUGGAAUUCCGAGUGUAGAGGUGAAAUUCGUAGAUAUUCGGAAGAACGCCAGUGGCGAAGGCGUCUCACUGGACUGGUAUUGACGCUGAGGUGCGAAAGCGUGGGGAGCAAACAGGAUUAGAUACCCUG
This 265-nucleotide ribosomal RNA is filed under the name uncultured Sphingomonadales bacterium. RNAcentral describes it as "partial 16S ribosomal RNA". It matches the Rfam family "Bacterial small subunit ribosomal RNA", at positions 524 to 789 of the family's 1533-position model. The record is from RNAcentral. Lineage: Bacteria; Pseudomonadati; Pseudomonadota; Alphaproteobacteria; Sphingomonadales.